AAUGAAGCUAAUUAGUCAACUUUGUUUCACAAUCAAGCAAUGAACAAUUACGCUCACAAUCGCUCUCAGCAUGGAGGACGUCAUGAACACCAAAGCAGCAAGCACGGGCCACACAUACAGAAGAGAAGGGGUAUUCACGUGACACCAGGUGGCUCAGGUUGCACCGUGGGAGACCUUCCCGUCCUACUCCACAGCCUGCCCCCAACCCAACAAAGACACACACCACUAGAACUUACCAGAUGGUACGAAAUGGAGGACCUUUCUGCUAUCCAUGUUGUCUAGGAGUUCAGCACGUGGGUUUUGAAAGAGGAAGUGGUUAGGUGACGCAAUGGGGCGGAGAAGUUGAACUGACUCAUGUCAAAACGUCACAUCAUUAGGAACUCCAGCACAGUGCCAUCUGGUGGCGGUACUACAGUUAGGCCGUCUAAGUUGCACGGAUUUGGCAAUAUGUUAUUAUUGUGGUUAUACUUUGUCAUAAACACGCCAAACUUUUUUUUUUUUUUUUUUUG
Molecule: long non-coding RNA, 509 nt
Organism: Nerophis lumbriciformis (worm pipefish)
Lineage: Eukaryota; Metazoa; Chordata; Actinopteri; Syngnathiformes; Syngnathidae
Source: RefSeq, a predicted model, not a curated record